This 2026-nucleotide ribosomal RNA is filed under the name Escherichia coli. RNAcentral describes it as "partial 23S ribosomal RNA". It matches the Rfam family "Bacterial large subunit ribosomal RNA", at positions 165 to 2215 of the family's 2925-position model. The record is from RNAcentral. Lineage: Bacteria; Pseudomonadati; Pseudomonadota; Gammaproteobacteria; Enterobacterales; Enterobacteriaceae.
CAUAGGUUAAUGAGGCGAACCGGGGGAACUGAAACAUCUAAGUACCCCGAGGAAAAGAAAUCAACCGAGAUUCCCCCAGUAGCGGCGAGCGAACGGGGAGCAGCCCAGAGCCUGAAUCAGUGUGUGUGUUAGUGGAAGCGUCUGGAAAGGCGCGCGAUACAGGGUGACAGCCCCGUACACAAAAAUGCACAUGCUGUGAGCUCGAUGAGUAGGGCGGGACACGUGGUAUCCUGUCUGAAUAUGGGGGGACCAUCCUCCAAGGCUAAAUACUCCUGACUGACCGAUAGUGAACCAGUACCGUGAGGGAAAGGCGAAAAGAACCCCGGCGAGGGGAGUGAAAAAGAACCUGAAACCGUGUACGUACAAGCAGUGGGAGCACGCUUAGGCGUGUGACUGCGUACCUUUUGUAUAAUGGGUCAGCGACUUAUAUUCUGUAGCAAGGUUAACCGAAUAGGGGAGCCGAAGGGAAACCGAGUCUUAACUGGGCGUUAAGUUGCAGGGUAUAGACCCGAAACCCGGUGAUCUAGCCAUGGGCAGGUUGAAGGUUGGGUAACACUAACUGGAGGACCGAACCGACUAAUGUUGAAAAAUUAGCGGAUGACUUGUGGCUGGGGGUGAAAGGCCAAUCAAACCGGGAGAUAGCUGGUUCUCCCCGAAAGCUAUUUAGGUAGCGCCUCGUGAAUUCAUCUCCGGGGGUAGAGCACUGUUUCGGCAAGGGGGUCAUCCCGACUUACCAACCCGAUGCAAACUGCGAAUACCGGAGAAUGUUAUCACGGGAGACACACGGCGGGUGCUAACGUCCGUCGUGAAGAGGGAAACAACCCAGACCGCCAGCUAAGGUCCCAAAGUCAUGGUUAAGUGGGAAACGAUGUGGGAAGGCCCAGACAGCCAGGAUGUUGGCUUAGAAGCAGCCAUCAUUUAAAGAAAGCGUAAUAGCUCACUGGUCGAGUCGGCCUGCGCGGAAGAUGUAACGGGGCUAAACCAUGCACCGAAGCUGCGGCAGCGACGCUUAUGCGUUGUUGGGUAGGGGAGCGUUCUGUAAGCCUGUGAAGGUGUGCUGUGAGGCAUGCUGGAGGUAUCAGAAGUGCGAAUGCUGACAUAAGUAACGAUAAAGCGGGUGAAAAGCCCGCUCGCCGGAAGACCAAGGGUUCCUGUCCAACGUUAAUCGGGGCAGGGUGAGUCGACCCCUAAGGCGAGGCCGAAAGGCGUAGUCGAUGGGAAACAGGUUAAUAUUCCUGUACUUGGUGUUACUGCGAAGGGGGGACGGAGAAGGCUAUGUUGGCCGGGCGACGGUUGUCCCGGUUUAAGCGUGUAGGCUGGUUUUCCAGGCAAAUCCGGAAAAUCAAGGCUGAGGCGUGAUGACGAGGCACUACGGUGCUGAAGCAACAAAUGCCCUGCUUCCAGGAAAAGCCUCUAAGCAUCAGGUAACAUCAAAUCGUACCCCAAACCGACACAGGUGGUCAGGUAGAGAAUACCAAGGCGCUUGAGAGAACUCGGGUGAAGGAACUAGGCAAAAUGGUGCCGUAACUUCGGGAGAAGGCACGCUGAUAUGUAGGUGAAGUCCCUUGCGGAUGGAGCUGAAAUCAGUCGAAGAUACCAGCUGGCUGCAACUGUUUAUUAAAAACACAGCACUGUGCAAACACGAAAGUGGACGUAUACGGUGUGACGCCUGCCCGGUGCCGGAAGGUUAAUUGAUGGGGUUAGCGCAAGCGAAGCUCUUGAUCGAAGCCCCGGUAAACGGCGGCCGUAACUAUAACGGUCCUAAGGUAGCGAAAUUCCUUGUCGGGUAAGUUCCGACCUGCACGAAUGGCGUAAUGAUGGCCAGGCUGUCUCCACCCGAGACUCAGUGAAAUUGAACUCGCUGUGAAGAUGCAGUGUACCCGCGGCAAGACGGAAAGACCCCGUGAACCUUUACUAUAGCUUGACACUGAACAUUGAGCCUUGAUGUGUAGGAUAGGUGGGAGGCUUUGAAGUGUGGACGCCAGUCUGCAUGGAGCCGACCUUGAAAUACCACCCUUUAAUGUUU